UGAUUCUUUUCCCUUUGACUAACACAUUUAUGAAAAUGAUUUAUGAGAGUAGAAAUAUUUUGAGUUCCUUCAAAUGCAUUUCUAGCUUUACAAUAUCAUAAGAAGAAAGCAUAUAAAAAGCAUGGUUGGUGGGACGAAUUAAGAAAACCAGUAAAGAGCAGCAUUGAGCACGCAUACAAAAAGGUAACUGGAGAAACAAACAAACAAACAAACUAAAAAGCAAAUAUUACACUGAUCUUAAUUAUAAUAAGAAAAGGUAGUAAAAAAGGAGAGACUAUGUGAGAAGAAACGAAAAUACAUAAUAGUACAAAAUUAGGAUUUCAAGAAGAUAGAAUGGGAAAAUCAAGUGGUUACGAGAGUUGUGCGCAUCAUGUUCUUAAAUUCACUGAAAUCAACACGACCAUCAUGGUUGGUGUCAAAAGAUACAAUCAUCUUAUUAACUCUAUCAAUCUCAUUCCCUUCGUUGAGUCCAAGCUUUCCUAAUACUGCUUGCAAUUCCUUUGCAGAUAUAUAACCAUCACCAUUUUCAUCAAAUACUUUGAACGCUUCACGCAGGUCUGACUCUUCUUGUUCCUCAUUCUCCUCCAUGUCUCCAAAUCCAAAGUAUGUAUCCCCUAAAGACUCAUGAAGUGCUACAAAAUCUUCAUAAGUUAGACCUUCUUGCCUGGCUUAAUGAAGGAACGUGUGAUAGACUCUAGCUCUGUGAGGUCAGUAUGAAGGCCUAAGAGGUUCAAGGCCUGACUUAUUUCUUUAAUGGUUAUCAUGGAAUCUCCAUUCUUGUCAAACAUGUCGAAGAUUCGCCUGAGACGUAGUGAAUUGAGACUUGGGCUUCGAAGGCGGAAUGAUGAAGAUGUCAUGUUCUUCAUUGGUUGUCCCAUACUCUCACACAAUUGUAUUCAAUGUUGUGGACUCAGGGAGGGACACAAGUGGCUGGGAAAUGGAGAUGUAUAGAUUUAUGAUUGGAAAAGUAGUAUUAAUGUUUAGAUAAACUAUAUUAAUAGCAAUGGUCCAUACUUAUUCUAUCUUCAUCGUGUGUGCUCCUAUGCUAUAUUAAUAAGGGAUAAUGCGUGUUUGUUGGCCUGCCAAAACGGACUCAUUCUCAACCAUAAUGACAAUAUUCUAUAAAUUGUUU
Non-coding RNA from Lupinus albus (white lupine), 1132 nucleotides. The record is from the annotation of a GenBank genome assembly. NCBI's taxonomy places the organism in Eukaryota, Viridiplantae, Streptophyta, Magnoliopsida, Fabales, Fabaceae.